CUGCAGAGAUGUGGCCCCCCUUCGUGGUCGGGUAUACAGGUGGUGCAUGGCUGUCGUCAGCUCGUGUCGUGAGAUGUGGGUUAAGUCCCGCAACGAGCGCAACCCUAUCUUAUGUUGCCAGCACGUUAUGGUGGGGACUCGUAAGAGACUGCCGGGGUCAACUCGGAGGAAGGUGGGGACGACGUCAAGUCAUCAUGCCCCUUAUGUCCAGGGCUUCACACAUGCUACAAUGGCCAGUACAGAGGGCUGCGAGACCGUGAGGUGGAGCGAAUCCCUUAAAGCUGGUCUCAGUUCGGAUCGGGGUCUGCAACUCGACCCCGUGAAGUCGGAGUCGCUAGUAAUCGCAGAUCAGCAACGCUGCGGUGAAUACGUUCCCGGGCCUU
RNAcentral lists this ribosomal RNA (383 nucleotides) under uncultured Rhodococcus sp. RNAcentral's name for it is "bacterial SSU rRNA". It matches the Rfam family "Bacterial small subunit ribosomal RNA", at positions 998 to 1382 of the family's 1533-position model. Lineage: Bacteria; Bacillati; Actinomycetota; Actinomycetes; Mycobacteriales; Nocardiaceae. The record is from RNAcentral.